ACUCAAAUGAAUAGACGGGGGCCCGCACAAGCGGAGGAACAUGUGGUUUAAUUCGAUGAUACGCGAGGAACCUUACCCGGGAUUGAACGUACUCGGACGGCGGAUGAGAAUCUGCUUCCAGCGAUGGCCGAGUGCGAGGUGCUGCAUGGUUGUCGUCAGCUCGUGCCGUGAGGUGUCGGCUUAAGUGCCAUAACGAGCGCAACCCUUGCCGCCAGUUACCAUCGAGUAAUGUCGGGGACUCUGGCGGGACUGCCGGCGUAAGCCGCGAGGAAGGCGGGGAUGACGUCAAAUCAGCACGGCCCUUACAUCCGGGGCGACACACGUGUUACAAUGGCGCGGACAAAGAGCAGCUACCUGGUGACAGGAUGCUAAUCCCCAAACCGCGUCCCAGUUCGGAUCGGAGUCUGCAACCCGACUCCGUGAAGCCGGAUUCGCUAGUAAUCGCGCAUCAGCCAUGGCGCGGUGAAUACGUUCCCGGGCCUUGUACACACCGCCCGU
Molecule: ribosomal RNA, 498 nt
Filed under: uncultured bacterium
Lineage: Bacteria
Description: bacterial SSU rRNA
Rfam family: Bacterial small subunit ribosomal RNA
Source: RNAcentral